This is a long non-coding RNA of Nyctereutes procyonoides (raccoon dog), 2657 nucleotides long. RefSeq lists it as uncharacterized. The record is from RefSeq and is a predicted model, not a curated record. NCBI's taxonomy places the organism in Eukaryota, Metazoa, Chordata, Mammalia, Carnivora, Canidae. The transcript is spliced from 2 exons.
CCCGGGGCGUGACCUCGCGGUCCGGGGAUCUCCGGGCGUGACCUCGGGGUCCCGGGGCGGGGCCUCGGGGUCCGGGGGUCUCCGGGCGGGGCCUCGGGGUCCUGCGGUCUCGGCGUGACCUCGGGGUCCCGGGGCGUGACCUCGCGGUCCGGGGGUCUCCGGGCGUGACCUCGGGGUCCCGGGGCGGGGCCUCGCGGUCCGGGGGUCUCCGGGCGUGACCUCGGGGUCCCGGGGCGGGGCCUCGCGGUCCGGGGGUCUCCGGGCGGGGCCUCGGGGUCCCGGGGCGGGGCCUCGCGGUCCGGGGGUCUCCGGGCGGGGCCUCGGGGUCCCGGGGCGUGACCUCGGGGUCCGGGGAUCGAGUCCCGCACGUGGGGAGCCCGCUUCUCCCUCUGCCUGUGUCUCUGCCUCUCUCUCUCUCAAAAAUAAAAUCUUCUUUUUAAAAAAAAUGCUUAGGGGUGUACGUGACCUGCAUGGUAAGAAUGCAGUGCAGCUUUGCCACCAGGCCUGGUGACCCCUGCACCACCAAACGACCAAGAACUAAGACUUAAUCCCUUGGACGGCGGGUGAACACGGAAGUAUGUUCUCUUUAGCAGAGAAGGUCCAAAGGGGCACCUGGGACCACCUUAAGCAUCUCAGAACAUUUGAUGACUUCCACCUUGAUGGGAGAUGUUAAACCCAGACCUAGAGAUGGGAAUUUUUCUCCACUUCGCUUUCUUAGUGGCUGGAAUACACUCACGUCCCAGAGAAAGCCUGCUUGUCUUCUCUUUUACAACUCCUCAGUUGCCAACAGCUCCUCCCACAAAUGCUGUGACGACAUUUGUUGUGCUUUUGGAUGAAAUCUAGACUGUUGGUGGGCCUCACUGAAGAGCAAUCCUUUUAAUGUCUGUUGUUUCCUGGGGGAGAAUCCACAGGUGGCACUGCCAGCUUUUUUUUUUUUUUUUUUUUAAGCAUUAUUUUCUAAAGGUGCAAAUCCCAGCAUUGGCUGUAUCCCAGAAACAAACAAACAAAAACGGGGCCACAUACUGAGAAAAGCGCACAUAUGGAGGCCAAGAGAGGACGUAUAUCCAGUGAGAGGGUUUCCUGACUCUCAUCUACCUUGGGUCUGCAGAAUCCACGGGAACCCCUUUCUGAAACUGCUUCCUAAAUGCAGUUGGCUCUCUGCUCGGAGAACACCAUUUCGGAAUCUGUUGCAGAGUCUGGAGUGGCACCCUGGAGCAUGUAUUUUCACAGUCCCCGACUCCGCGGGUGAUUCUGGUGCCGUGAGCCAUGGGAAGCUGUGGAAGGUGGUGAAACGAUUGAGUUCAUGUCCUUAAAGGUAACCCUAACAGCGGCACGGUGACUCGAUUGGAUGGCGCUGGACUGGAGACCCCCGGACUGUGCUACGCAAGAACUGAUGAAGGCCUAAACUAAGAGAGUGGCCAUGGAGAGAGGAUGACGUGGGAGAAAGGAAUGAUUUACAGAGUAUUUAGGAGGUAGACUUGAUGUAAUGUGGCAAUUGGCUCAAUACGCAGAGCAAGGGACAGGAAGGAGUUAAGUCCUAGCUUGGGAGAUUCAGGUAAUAGUUAUGCAAUCCUAGAAGGUGUGAUAAUAAUGAUAUUAAGCAUGUGCUGUGUGUGAGGCAUUAGGAACUUUGUAAGUAUUAGCUGUAUAAUCCUCACAAAGCCUUACAAGGUGGAAAUAGUCACGCCCUCUUACAGAAGAGAAACUAUUCAGGGAGGGGUUAAGUCUCUUAAAAUGGGAUACACUAGUCUCUUCACUGCAGAAUGAGACCAUCGUUCUGUAGCUAAAAAUGUUUAUUUUGGUAUCAGCUAGUUUUCCCAAAGGCUGGUCACCCCUGAGUGAGAUGACCAGGUUCUAGAGUGUGUAGCAAACUUUGGUGGGGUCUUAACCAACACAGAACAAUCUGGAGAGCCUCGCACUGCCAUGUUGGCCCUAGGGGGCUCUGUGUGGUUAUGCAGUACCAGUUCAUGUAUGUAUCUGCAGGGGACAUUCUGUGACCUCAGUUAUCUGAACUGUAGCCAAGAGCAAGAACAGAAGCAAACAAUAAACCCUGGAAUAGCAGGAGGGAUGCAAAUAUCACAUUCAGAUCUAAUGUGCUCUGCUCAGAGGGAAAAUUAAUUUGGAGACAUAUUAAUCUAUUGCUCUUGACUAAUUCCUCUGAAACCUGAUGGCUUACAAUGAUGAACACUAUCUCACAGUUUCUGUGGCUCCUGUGGUUCAGGAGAGCAUCUUAGCUGGGUGGUUCUGAUGACUCUGUGUCUCCCAUGAGAUUGUGAUCAGCCUAUCAGCCGGGGCUUGACUGGGCCUGAAAGAUCCGUUUUCACAACGGCCGACUCCUAUGGCUGUUGGCUGGGGGCCUCAGUUCAUCUCUACACUGGCGUCUCCAUAGAGCAUUUGAAUGUCUUUGAGAUUGGGCGCUUGACUUUCUCCAGAGAGAGUGGCCCAAGAAAGAGGGAGAGAGAAGCCAUGAUGCCUCUUAGGACUUAGCCUGAGGAGUCACCUGCCAUUUCCACAGUAUCCUAUUUUUCCACUAGUCUUCUCUCUUCAACGUGGACGGUCACUACACUAAAACAGCAGGACGUGGGGAAUCAUUGGGGGUCCUCUUGGAGGCUGUAGUCACAGCGGAUUAAAAAAAAAUAAAAAUAAAUAAAAAUAAA